This 74-nucleotide transfer RNA is filed under the name Pristimantis ornatissimus. Its description in RNAcentral is "tRNA-Leu". It matches the Rfam family "tRNA". Rfam says of the family: Transfer RNA (tRNA) molecules are approximately 80 nucleotides in length. Lineage: Eukaryota; Metazoa; Chordata; Amphibia; Anura; Strabomantidae. The record is from RNAcentral.
AGUUAAUGAAGCAAACCCAGGCCUUGCAAAAGAUCUAAACCCUUUUUACAGAGGUUCAACUCCUCUCUUUAACU